This 181-nucleotide ribosomal RNA is filed under the name Bacillus cereus. RNAcentral describes it as "partial 23S ribosomal RNA". It matches the Rfam family "Bacterial large subunit ribosomal RNA", at positions 2749 to 2925 of the family's 2925-position model. Lineage: Bacteria; Bacillati; Bacillota; Bacilli; Caryophanales; Bacillaceae. The record is from RNAcentral. RNAcentral also lists the same sequence under 5 other names.
CUAUGUGCGGAAGGGAUAAGUGCUGAAAGCAUCUAAGCAUGAAGCCCCCCUCAAGAUGAGAUUUCCCAUAGCGUAAGCUAGUAAGAUCCCUGAAAGAUGAUCAGGUUGAUAGGUUCGAGGUGGAAGCAUGGUGACAUGUGGAGCUGACGAAUACUAAUAGAUCGAGGACUUAACCAUAUAA